This 1303-nucleotide ribosomal RNA is filed under the name uncultured fungus. RNAcentral describes it as "eukaryotic LSU rRNA". The stretch from base 619 to 1303 matches the Rfam family "Eukaryotic large subunit ribosomal RNA", at positions 1 to 667 of the family's 3401-position model. Lineage: Eukaryota; Fungi. The record is from RNAcentral.
CUUGGUCAUUUAGAGGAAGUAAAAGUCGUAACAAGGUUUCCGUAGGUGAACCUGCGGAAGGAUCAUUAUUGAUUGAUAAAGGGAUGUGCUGGCAAAAUUAUUUUGCAUUGUGCACUCCUGAAAUCUUCAUCCACCUGUGCACUUUGUUGUAGAUAAAAGCGAAUAAAGUCAUUUAUUCAUUUUGUCUAUGUUUUUAAUAAACCUUUUUACAAAUCUAUGGAAUGGUCGGCUUGUUACAAGCUAAAAUUAAUACAACUUUCAACAAUGGAUUUCUUGGUUCUCGCAUCGAUGAAGAACGCAGCGAAUUGCGAUAUGUAAUGUGAAUUGCAGAAUUCAGUGAAUCAUCGAAUCUUUGAACGCACCUUGCACCCUUUGGUCUUCCAAAGGGUAUGCCUGUUUGAGUAUCAUUAAUAUCUCAACAUAAAUCAAUUUGAUUUGUGCUUGGAUUCUGAAGGUCUGCUGGUUGUUUACAAUCAGCUCCUUUUAAAUAUAUUAGCAAGGACUAUGCAGGACUGGCUUCAGUUUGAUAAUUGAUUUUUAUCUAUGCUGUUGCUAGGUUGCUUCUGUCUAGGCUUAUAAUUGUCUUCGGACUGUCUCUUAAGACAUAACUUUUAAAAUUGAUCUCAAAUCAGGUAGGACUACCCGCUGAACUUAAGCAUAUCAAUAAGCGGAGGAAAAGAAACUAACAAGGAUUCCCUUAGUAACUGCGAGUGAAGAGGGAAGAGCUCAAAUUUAAAAUCUGGCAGCCUUGGCUGUCCGAGUUGUAAAUUAGAGAAGUGCUAUCCGCGUUGGCCUGUGCAAAAGUCUCUUGGAAAAGAGCAUCAUAGAGGGUGACAAUCCCGUCUUUGGCACAGAUCCCAAGGCUGUUGUGAUACGCUUUCAAAGAGUCGAGUUGUUUGGGAAUGCAGCUCUAAAUGGGUGGUAAAUUCCAUCUAAAGCUAAAUAUUGGCGAGAAACCGAUAGUGAACAAGUACCGUGAGGGAAAGAUGAAAAGAACUUUGAAAAGAGAGUUAAACAGUGCAUGAAAUUGUUGAAAGGGAAACGCUUAAAGUCAGUCAUGUUCUUCAGAAAUCAACCAAAUCCUCCUGGAUCUGGCUUACUUUCUGUUGAAUAGGUCAGCAUCAAUUUUGAUCAUUAGACAAAGGCAUUGGGAAGGUGGCAUCUUCGGAUGUGUUAUAGCCCAGUGUUCCAUAUAUAAUGGUUGGGAUUGAGGAACUCAGUGUGAAUUUGGGGCUUCGGCUCACAUUACGCACUUUGGAUGCUGGCAUAAUGGCUUUAAUCGACCCGUCUUGAAACACGGACC